RNAcentral lists this ribosomal RNA (216 nucleotides) under Glomeromycotina sp. RNAcentral's name for it is "partial small subunit ribosomal RNA". The stretch from base 40 to 216 matches the Rfam family "Eukaryotic small subunit ribosomal RNA", at positions 686 to 864 of the family's 1831-position model. The record is from RNAcentral. Lineage: Eukaryota; Fungi; Glomeromycota.
GGGUCAGUAGGUUGGUCGUGCCACCGGUACGUACUGGUCUCACUGAUUCCUCCUUCCUGAAGAACCGUAAUGCCAUUAAUUUGGUGUUGCGGGGAAACAGGACUGUUACUUUGAAAAAAUUAGAGUGUUUAAAGCAAGAUAACGCUUGAAUACAUUAGCAUGGAAUAAUGAAAUAGGACGAUCGAUCCUAUUUUGUUGGUUUCUAGGAUUGACGUA